Molecule: transfer RNA, 76 nt
Filed under: Veillonella sp.
Lineage: Bacteria; Bacillati; Bacillota; Negativicutes; Veillonellales; Veillonellaceae
Description: tRNA-Lys
Rfam family: tRNA
About the family: Transfer RNA (tRNA) molecules are approximately 80 nucleotides in length. Their secondary structure includes four short double-helical elements and three loops (D, anti-codon, and T loops).
Source: RNAcentral
GGAACAUUAGCUCAGCUGGCAGAGCAACUGACUCUUAAUCAGUGGGUCCGGGGUUCGAUCCCCCGAUGUUCCACCA